ACAAGCUGUGGGAGAUCAUUCGAUCUCACACCUGGCCAACCUUGUUAACCUUAAAUAUGUUGCUUUGGUGGGCCCUGCCGGCGGACCUUUGGCUUCCCGGCCUAGUAGUGCUCACCGAAGUCAUUUUAAAACUCCAAGUUUGUUAUUUCUGCUGUCUGAGCAUGCAAAUGCAAAAUUUAGUUA
RNAcentral lists this unclassified non-coding RNA (183 nucleotides) under uncultured fungus. Its description in RNAcentral is "sequence contains ITS1". The record is from RNAcentral. Lineage: Eukaryota; Fungi.